AAAACCUUUUUUUUUCUGAGGUGUGGCUCGCACCGGUCCAAUUAAACUAGAGCUACCUUUUUUCAACACGGUUGCAUCGGUUGCGGUUCGUCGACCAGUUCAUAUAGAGCUGCGACGCGGCCACAACACUUUUACACAAAACACUUUUGAUGAUCUAGGAUUUGGAACGAAGUUCAUUUUUACGAUGGAACCGACUGGUAAUGCGGUCGUCUAAAUCUAAAAAACAACUUUUGGCAACGGAUCUCUUGGUUCUCCCAUCGAUGAAGAACGCAGCGAAUUGCGAUAAGUAAUGUGAAUUGCAGAAGUGAAUCAUCGAAUCUUUGAACGCACCUUGCGCUCCCGGCAGAUCUAAUCUGGGGAGCAUGCCUGUUUGAGGGCCGCGAAUUUGUUUCGAACGGCAGUUUUUUUCCCGAAAAGCUGGCGGAUCGGUAUUGAGGGUUUUGCCAUUCACCGUGGCUCCCUCGAAAUGCAUUAGCGCAUCCAUUUGAUAGGCAAGACGGACGAAAGCUCGAGCGACUUUAUUGGUGCUGGUUCCUUCCCUCUUUUUCCUGCCGGGUUUUGAUAAUAUCAGGACUUCGGAGGCGGAGAGGGAAAGGGCGAGAGCUCGACGCGACGUUUUGCUGGUUGGAGUGCUUCUGAACCCCGCCCAUUUUGCAGAAAAAGGGAUCUUCACAAAUC
RNAcentral lists this ribosomal RNA (678 nucleotides) under Anomalomyces yakirrae. RNAcentral describes it as "eukaryotic LSU rRNA". The stretch from base 226 to 380 matches the Rfam family "5.8S ribosomal RNA". The record is from RNAcentral. Lineage: Eukaryota; Fungi; Basidiomycota; Ustilaginomycetes; Ustilaginales.